CGGGGCGUGGCGCAGUCUGGUAGCGCACGGGUUUUGGGAACCCGGAGUCGGAGGUUCAAAUCCUCUCGCCCCGACCA
This 77-nucleotide transfer RNA is filed under the name Desulfobacterales bacterium. RNAcentral's name for it is "tRNA-Pro". It matches the Rfam family "tRNA". From Rfam's summary of the family: Transfer RNA (tRNA) molecules are approximately 80 nucleotides in length. Their secondary structure includes four short double-helical elements and three loops (D, anti-codon, and T loops). RNAcentral also lists the same sequence under 1 other name. Lineage: Bacteria; Pseudomonadati; Thermodesulfobacteriota; Desulfobacteria; Desulfobacterales. The record is from RNAcentral.